UGGAUCAGGAUAGGGAUCAAGGAAGGAACAUACGGAUUUGUUACAUAACUUGCCACCCUCUCCUGGUGAGAAGACGGGAGCACAGCAAGUGGAGGGAGUGGAUAACGCUGAUGACUGGUACUGGCAGCGACCUCCUGCAGGAAGGGGGUUUGGGAAGCAUUUUUUUGUGCACUUCCAUGUACAGUCAGUGGAGAGGCUGCUGGAGACCUGGCUGUGUGGGCUGAGCACCAGGCAGCUCGUUAUCUCAGCUCACCACUGCCUUUCGUGGCAGAAUUUGUGCCAGCCAGAUGGGCAGCUUUGUCUGACUUAUCCCAAGAUAAAACCAAGGAAGAACGGGGCCUUGAGGAGGAGGGAGAAACAGUCUGAUGGCUACAGCAAGUCAGAGAGGGGCUUUAUUCCUGUCCCACUACCACCACUGGUGUUUGUAACACCUAGAAGAGCAUUCUUAUGAAAAAUUCAAACUAAUUUUAUAACUGAAAGCAAGCAUGAGAGCCUAUUCCUGGCUACAGAAUGAAACUAUUGACCUUGACUCAAGAAAUCCAUAAAGAUAGAAGGAAUCAAUUUAAAAAAUGAAGUGCUUGUGAAGGAGGAAGGGCUCCUUCUGUCCAAGUUUUUAAUUCUGUCUCUAAACUACGGGAUGGAAAGGCAAAUACGCAUUCUGAAAUGGCUGAAUGAAUGCCCCAUGCCAUAGGAGCACACAGUCAGCUGGAGCAGCCCUCAAGUGACUCCUCCCUUGAACCCUUCACUCUUGUUAAGGACUAAUACUGUAGGAUGGCAGCAAUCUGUGAUGGAUCCAGUGUCCUGGAAUAAUCUCUUAUCUUCCAUAUGACUGGUGUUGGAGGUGGAAAGAAAGAACUGAGAGUCCUGCAGGAGAAUACAUCAAGUAAAAGAGCAGCUUCUGCUGGAGUGAAGCAGAUGUGAUGUAAUGUUGCUUUCCAGGUUGAAAAACUCCUACCUAGAGAAUUUCCUGAGCAGAAGGCUUCAGUUUCUUCAAACUACCUGUGAAAACAAGGCCUAAAAAAGCGUCCUUUGAAAGAACACAGAUUUCAGCACUGAACAUUGGUCAAGUAAACCAGGACAUAAUUUAGGGUCUCAGCUGUAUACACAUUGUUUUUUGGUAGCAGUUGAGGACCUUGCAGCUUGGCUUCUCAUCAUAGGAGUUACCAUGCUGGAACUGUGGCUCAACCCUCCAUGUUGACCAAUACAACUGGGCAGAGCUUUCCUUAUUGAGAGAGUCUAUGAAGAAAACAGAGUGAUAGAAACUGCAUACCUGGAAAACAAGCAAAGCCACUCCUGAUCAGUAGCAGUAUAAUAACCACCUGCCCCAAGGCUGCAGAAGCCACGAGUGUCACACAGCUCCUUUCAGCCCUAGAAAUUUAUGCGAUACAGUAAAAGCUUUGAUCAGGCUUUUGGAAGGGUUCCUGAAGAAGCCAUACUUCCGUGAAAAGUACCUUGCUGUGCUCAGCAAAGCUCCUGCUCCUGCCCAUGGACGUGAUUGUGAAGGUUUAAUCAUCUUAUUUCCUCCUUGUUUGGCUCUGGGGUUGUUGUCACACAGCUGUAGUGUCCAGGAGCCUGUGGCACAUGUCCCUGCCUGUGCCCAGAGGGGGACAAUCCACCUGGCUGAAUCCACCUCUGCUGCAGGUGCCCAUCUCCAACCAUAGACUUGCUCAGGGGCUCUCUGAGCUGCCAAGUUUUAAAUAGUCCUCAAAUCCUCUUCUCUAGGAGAUGAGGAAGAGGGGUUGUCAAUGCCAGCUGGGUUUUUAGAGGGAGCUUUGAGAGCUGGCCUUGGACUCUUAAGCUGUGGGAACCCUGUGUCCAUAUCUGCCAGUGAAAUAAUAUUUUAAACACACAGAAAUGAAUCCAGCUAUGUCAGCACAGGGAAAAUAUUGAUAUUACUAAGAACAUUAUACAACACUUUAUUUAGUCCAAGGGAAAGUUUUCUAGAGAACUUGAGUAAACAAUCCAUAAAAAAAGCCCUCUGCUUUAGCUGGGUGCUGGACAAGCCAACCUAAUAUAUCUUUUCCAUUUCUCACCUCAAAAACCCAGUGCAGUCUAUUUUUUUUUAUUUUUUUUUUUAUGUCAGUGAUCAGUGGAGCAUAUCUUUGUGUGCUGGAAAAGAGAUUGGCUAUAACCAUCUUGUAAUAGCUUUGACAUGUACUUUGUCUUUUUAUAAAAAACAAACUUUUAAAGUUCAUAGUUAAUAAGAGGCCUCAGAUUCUUAUAAGCAGUUUAAUCAGGCUGUGCCAGUACAAGGCACAUGGUUAAACACAGUCUCUUCUAAGCAAGGGCAUGACUUGCUACUUUUAAUGCAUGAUAUCUUUUGCUGUUGGGCCUCUGAGUCUUGACUUAUGUUCAAUCUUUCAAUUAAAUUCCCCUCAGACAUGUGAAUUUUGUCAAUGCUUACUUCUCCCACACAAAAAUCUGGUUAUAUUAUGUGAUGUUUUCUUCAGAUCUUCACUAUUCUGCAUUGCAUUUCCCACCCCCUUUUUUAUUUUUUCCUUCUCUCUGCUGGAAGGAAAAACUGUUUUUAACUGUGCCUGGAGCUUUGUCCUUUGUCCUUCACCCAUGUCUCUUGGACAGCAAACCUCUGUCUGCAUAACAAGCAUCCCACUGAGCUCCUCUGCUCCCCCUGAAAGGAGGUCUCUGACACAACAGAGGGGUUUUUCCAUUACAAGUAAAUUCUGUGCCCCUUUCCUAGGGAUAACCUGAAGCUCAGCACGCAGCAGGCUCAGGGCACUCAGCUGCCAGUUGGAGCUUCCUCUUUGCUUCACUCUGAGUUAAAUUACCAUUUAGUUCAUUUCUUUCCAUUUUCUGGGUUUUGAAUGAUAUUCUGUCCAGAGGAGAUGAGGGGAUUUUUGUCAAAAUUCGAAUUAGGGACAAUUUAGAGAACGAGGAGGGGAAAAAAAAUAGAAAAAAACAAGCAAGGAGACUAAUGUAACAUGUUGAAUGAGAGAUACUAAGCAAGCUCAGUGUGUUGAUCUCCCACAUAGCUCUGGAUCAUCCCUCAGCUCCUGCUUUCAAUCCCAGGUGUGCAGGGAAGGACUGGGGCAUAGCCUGGGCUGAGUGUGGUGGUGCUGCAUCUUUGUCCCUACUGUGGCUGAAACAACCCUGGCCAGCUUUGGACUUGACUGUUUUCUGUAUUUCAUUUUGUUCUGUAUUUCACAUUGGGUAAGAGCUUUGUUUGGCAGGUUUAACAUGCUGCUUUUAAAGAGCUCCUAAUUCAGAAGUGUUUUGUGCAUUUCUGCAGUUUUCAGGAGCCGUAAAAGAGAACAGUUAUCCAUUCUUGAACACAGUUGUAUUUUUUUCAGAGCUGGGUUUUGAUGCCAGCUUUUAUUUUUCCAUUGAGCUCUGUCACUGAGUAGAGCCAUUUGCAGUUGGAAAACAUCAAAGGACUGGUGGUUUUAUGGGUCACAUUUAAGCACAUGGAGAGCUUUGAAGUUAAUACUUCAUUGAAAGGAAGUGCUCAGUUGGUUGUUGUUUCACCACAUCCUAAUUACCGAAAUUAACCCUGACCACUAAUGAAAUUUCUAAUGAACAUAAUGUGGUCUUUGCUUCAAAGGGAAUUCCACACACAAAGCAGCCAGGGCAGCCAGGGGACAAGGACUAAUACAAGGACCCAGUGAGAUUGAUGACUUCUCCUCUUUGCAACUUAUUUUGGUAGGAAAAGUGUUCAAAGAGCUUGUACGUACCAGUCCUUAUAUACCUACACAUUCAAGGUCUCAUCAGAAUCUUGAGGGGUCUGGUUCAUCAUAUAAUAAAAUAAGUCCAGUUAAACUACUCCUUGAGGAGGCAGGAUUUCCUCUGAUGUGUUACUAUAGGAAUUUUCCAGUUAAACUUGAGAGUAGGUUUUCAGUGGGAAUGCAGAAAGCCUGUCUGUUAAUGACCUCAUCCCAGAGACCUGGAAAGAUAAAAUUUUUACUAUCUCUCCCCAGUGGACUCCCAAGAGACUUGCUCAAAGUCUUGUUUUCGCAACACAUUCAGGUAUGAGCCUUGACCUGAAGGACAAAAAUCUGUCUUGCAGUCACAGGGGAAUGUAAGAAGAAGAACUGGCACAUUUCAACCCUCAUUGUUCCUUUUCAGGUGUGGUGAAUAUAAGCAAACCCUGCUUUCAGACAGGCUGUUAUUGAGGGGGACCUCCCUGUACAGAAUAAUUCAUCCAAAUUAACCACUUCAUCUGGUUUCAGUCACAUAGCUCUCGAUCACUGUUUUACAGAUUAAAAGAUCUCAUCUAAGAUUUAACACAUUGAUUCAAUUACUUCAACUUGUGCUUCAAACACCAUCAAAGUGUUGAUUCUUUUCCCUUAAUUCUUUUGAAAGGCUAAUUCAGACUGACUCAUUAACUAGAGAUGACUGCAAAUUUGGAUAAUGUGUUUAAGUGGAGAAGCUUGAUCCAUCUUGAUUAAAAGGUUUUUUGUAGCUAAUGCUUAACCUCUGAAGUUCGUAAACUCAGCUACAGCUAAUGAGUGUGUUUCAUUCUCAAAUGUUUAAGCAUCCUCCCACUUCUUUUUGCCCCUGAAAUCAAAAGGGGUUGCUUCCUGAGCUGCAGAAUGCAACGUUUAUGCUAAUUCAAAAUCAUUAUAAUUAUUUCACAGUCACUGGAAAACCUAUGUGCAAACAGUUACAUAAAUGCCGUGAAUGAACACACCAGCACACUGUUUGCUUCACUAAGUAAAUCAGUACAUUAGAAGGAUAAACUAUUUUAUUGCCUAAUUAGCCCUCAUCCAGGAAGGGUGUUUUCAUGAGCAGGAAGCCAGAUGGACAAAAACUGUCCUGGAUCACUUGCUCUGAAAAAGCACUGCAAGAAAAACUGAUUACAUGCAUUUCUGACACCUUUCCUUGUAUUUGGAGCAGGCAGAGGUGAGGAAAAAGCAAACUUGGUGCAUGACUUUAAGGCACGGAAGGGGAUUGUUCUGACUUCCUGCAUUGUCAGCAUAGGUUAAAGAAUAUGUGCAUAAAAACAUAUGAUUUUGGGGGCUGUAUUUUAGGUCACAAACAUGAGGACAAACAGCUUCUGAACAUGUGGUCUGGAGUGUUAGGAAUGCUACAAAUUGUGCUUGAUUACAACAAAAAGGGAUUACCAUAUUUAGUGGGGUGCAUCUAAUAGGAUGCAUUUUAUAGAGUUCUUUUUACACCAAAAUACUUGCUUACUGUAAAACAGCAGUUUACUGUAAAACAGGCUUCUGACUGUGCUGAUCACGUGAGAUGUGGGCAGUAGAACUCGUGAAAAAAAUUUCAUAUAAUAAUUUUUUUCAAAGUUUAGCAUGUGCAGAAAUUGUUUGUGAACCCAAGUAGAUACCUUUACACAGAAGGGAACUGAAAGUGGACCAUGGUCCAAAAGCUUGUGGUGAAUAACUCCCAGCAGCAUGAUAGGACACCAUAAGAGAGAAAUCUUCUCUUCCCUGGAAAAUUUUGAAAUUCUCUGGAAAUCCCAGAAAGGUUUUGAAGACACCUUUAAUGUUGCUGACCCAGGCACCAGGGGAAGGAACCCUCUGCUCCUCCAACUUUCCCAAGUUGGCUGUAGGCAGGGGAAAGACCAGGUUUGCUCUGACCUGGUGGGGCCCUCUGCAAGGCUUUUUUCUUUGCUAUAUCAGUGGUACAGCUGUAUUGGAAAUGACAGGUUUCUCUGUGGACUUCAGACUGCUAAAUGAGUGAGUGUGUGUGUGUGUGUGUGUGACAUUGUGUUUGUCACAGCAGCAUUGUCCGUGUGGAGUUUGGGAGGAUGCAAAGCACUUCUAUAGGAAGCUGAUCCAGUGUUCAUAUACAGACAGUAAGGGAUGUGAGCUGUAUGACAUGCCACUGAAGCAGCUCUCAUAAUGACUUUUUGUAAUAAUAAAGGUCUGGCUGAAAAAUGGAAUCUGCUCCCUGGCAUGGAUGCUUUGGUCCAGAAAUUUUAUUUCUUGUUUCUAUCUCAUCAGUUAAUGCCUGAAAGAAAACAAUAUCCCUUCAACGUGAGUCAUUGGGAAAUAAAACUGUGGGAGAAAGCUUGUGUUUGUGUUUAGACAGUGUUGUUUGCUCUUCAGUGCGUAUAAUUAAGUUUGAAUACUUCAUAUUCAGGCUACAUUGAAGUUGUUCUAAAAGUCAUUUUCAGGUUGCAAGUCAUUUCACCCCAGAGAAAAGACUUAAAUGUGAGAUCUGGUUUCUUUUCUUUGACUUAAGGGAGCAGAGGUUCAAGCAGAUAACAUGUAAAUGUCUGUAUUUUGGAUAUUUAAAGUAAAGGGAGGUGACACCUGCCUGCUCGAUCUGUAAACAGGUACUGGAGGGUCACCAGCUUGCAUAGCCAAGAUUCCAGGCUCUCCCAGGGCCACUUCCCUGGCAAUCCCUGUACUGGCCUUUGAGUGGUCCUCCCUUUGUUCCCAGCAUUUGUCCAGCUCUCCAAAAAUAAAGUAGGCCUAAACUGUAGCAGGUAUAAAUCAACACAACACCAGUGAUUUCCACGAAAACCUGUGACAAGGAUUUGGCUGUGAAAUGCUUCAAAAAACCCCUGCAUUAACAGACCAGUCCACAGAAGCAUUCCUGCCUUCUGCCCCGCUAUGACAUGGUUUACCGGGGGUGUGACGACAGCAGGCUGUACAAGGGUGACAGCACCAGGAGACCAGAAGUUUGCUCACAGACUCUUCUGCAGUGGGAAAAGAAGCUGGUGUUCAUGCAGGGAAUGAAUAAAAGGCUUUAGCAGCAGCAAGGUCUCUCUCUGCCAGGUGGAUGAAGAAUUUCUCCCUGCCUUGCUUCUUAUGCUGCAUCUCUGUGGGGUGCAGUGGCAGUAUGGAGAUGUACAGGAUGGAUGGCUGCCUCUGUGGUUGUCAGAGACUGAAAUAGUUAAUGAUUUAUGCAUUCCAGGAGUUUGCAGGCUUUGACUUUUGCCCUAAAAAGGCAAGAAGAUGCCUCAGGUGGGCUAAGCCCUAAAAAGGCAAGAAGAUGCCUCAGGUGAGCUAAGCCCUAAAAGGCAAGAUACCUCAGGUGGCCAAUUGGGCCCAUCCCUCCCUCCAGUGCUAAGCCCAGAAAAGGCAAACAACUCCUCAUGCCAGGGAGGUGCAAAAGCAUGCUGAGGGUAUAUAAACUGACUGGUGACUAUGUCCAUUUCUUUUGCACUCUCAGCUUCUCUUUUCCCUUACUCUCGUCCUGUUUUUUCUCUCCCCUAAGCAGUUUCUCC
Long non-coding RNA from Pseudopipra pipra, 7147 nucleotides. RefSeq lists it as uncharacterized. The transcript has 9 exons. Lineage: Eukaryota; Metazoa; Chordata; Aves; Passeriformes; Pipridae. The record is from RefSeq and is a predicted model, not a curated record.